RNAcentral lists this ribosomal RNA (329 nucleotides) under uncultured eukaryote. RNAcentral's name for it is "partial 18S ribosomal RNA". It matches the Rfam family "Eukaryotic small subunit ribosomal RNA", at positions 1470 to 1796 of the family's 1831-position model. The record is from RNAcentral.
CCCUUAGAUGUUCUAGGCCGCACGCGCGCUACACUGAUGCAUUCAACGAGUCUAAAACCUGCUCUGAUAGGGGUGGGUAAUCUUUUGAAUGUGCAUCGUGAUUGGGAUAGAUGAUUGCAAUUUUUCAUCUUCAACGAGGAAUGCCUAGUAAACGCAAGUCAUCAGCUUGCAUUGAUUACGUCCCUGCCCUUUGUACACACCGCCCGUCGCUCCUACCGAUUGAAUGAUCCGAUGAAUAUCAUGGAUUGAGGAUGCAAGUAGGUUAGCCUAUCUUCAUCUUCGAGAAGUGAAGUAAAUCUUAUCAUUUAGAGGAAGGAGAAGUCGUAACA